AGGAUAUUUUGAUAAUUUUUCAUCAAAAUAUUAAAUUUUUUGGGUUAUCAUGAUACGUUGCUAGACAUCAAUCUAUACUUAUGGACUCAUCAAAAUUAAAAGAGUUUAAUUCAAAAAUCAAUUAGGAAGAGUCCUAGUUGAUUGGGACUCUUCGGGUGAUCUAAUCUGAUUGAAUUAGGGUUACAUCAAAAGUCUGAACCUACUGCUUG
This 209-nucleotide long non-coding RNA is filed under the name Elaeis guineensis (African oil palm). RNAcentral's name for it is "long non-coding RNA (EGUI_LNC049519)". Lineage: Eukaryota; Viridiplantae; Streptophyta; Magnoliopsida; Arecales; Arecaceae. The record is from RNAcentral.